UUGAAGAGUUUGAUCAUGGCUCAGAUUGAACGCUGGCGGCAGGCCUAACACAUGCAAGUCGAGCGGUAGCACAGAGAGCUUGCUCUCGGGUGACGAGCGGCGGACGGGUGAGUAAUGUCUGGGAAACUGCCUGAUGGAGGGGGAUAACUACUGGAAACGGUAGCUAAUACCGCAUAACGUCGCAAGACCAAAGUGGGGGACCUUCGGGCCUCAUGCCAUCAGAUGUGCCCAGAUGGGAUUAGCUAGUAGGUGGGGUAACGGCUCACCUAGGCGACGAUCCCUAGCUGGUCUGAGAGGAUGACCAGCCACACUGGAACUGAGACACGGUCCAGACUCCUACGGGAGGCAGCAGUGGGGAAUAUUGCACAAUGGGCGCAAGCCUGAUGCAGCCAUGCCGCGUGUGUGAAGAAGGCCUUCGGGUUGUAAAGCACUUUCAGCGGGGAGGAAGGCGUUAAGGUUAAUAACCUUGGCGAUUGACGUUACCCGCAGAAGAAGCACCGGCUAACUCCGUGCCAGCAGCCGCGGUAAUACGGAGGGUGCAAGCGUUAAUCGGAAUUACUGGGCGUAAAGCGCACGCAGGCGGUCUGUCAAGUCGGAUGUGAAAUCCCCGGGCUCAACCUGGGAACUGCAUUCGAAACUGGCAGGCUAGAGUCUUGUAGAGGGGGGUAGAAUUCCAGGUGUAGCGGUGAAAUGCGUAGAGAUCUGGAGGAAUACCGGUGGCGAAGGCGGCCCCCUGGACAAAGACUGACGCUCAGGUGCGAAAGCGUGGGGAGCAAACAGGAUUAGAUACCCUGGUAGUCCACGCCGUAAACGAUGUCGAUUUGGAGGUUGUGCCCUUGAGGCGUGGCUUCCGGAGCUAACGCGUUAAAUCGACCGCCUGGGGAGUACGGCCGCAAGGUUAAAACUCAAAUGAAUUGACGGGGGCCCGCACAAGCGGUGGAGCAUGUGGUUUAAUUCGAUGCAACGCGAAGAACCUUACCUGGUCUUGACAUCCACAGAACUUUCCAGAGAUGGAUUGGUGCCUUCGGGAACUGUGAGACAGGUGCUGCAUGGCUGUCGUCAGCUCGUGUUGUGAAAUGUUGGGUUAAGUCCCGCAACGAGCGCAACCCUUAUCCUUUGUUGCCAGCGGUUCGGCCGGGAACUCAAAGGAGACUGCCAGUGAUAAACUGGAGGAAGGUGGGGAUGACGUCAAGUCAUCAUGGCCCUUACGACCGGGCUACACGUGCUACAAUGGCAUAUACAAAGAGAAGCGACCUCGCGAGAGCAAGCGGACCUCAUAAAGUAUGUCGUAGUCCGGAUUGGAGUCUGCAACUCGACUCCAUGAAGUCGGAAUCGCUAGUAAUCGUAGAUCAGAAUGCUACGGUGAAUACGUUCCCGGGCCUUGUACACACCGCCCGUCACACCAUGGGAGUGGGUUGCAAAAGAAGUAGGUAGCUUAACCUUCGGGAGGGCGCUUACCACUUUGUGAUUCAUGACUGGGGUGAAGUCGUAACAAGGUAACCGUAGGGGAACCUGCGGUUGGAUCACCUCCUU
This 1533-nucleotide ribosomal RNA is filed under the name Klebsiella pneumoniae. RNAcentral's name for it is "bacterial SSU rRNA". It matches the Rfam family "Bacterial small subunit ribosomal RNA". Lineage: Bacteria; Pseudomonadati; Pseudomonadota; Gammaproteobacteria; Enterobacterales; Enterobacteriaceae. The record is from RNAcentral.